Molecule: ribosomal RNA, 243 nt
Filed under: uncultured Actinomycetales bacterium
Lineage: Bacteria; Bacillati; Actinomycetota; Actinomycetes; Actinomycetales
Description: partial 16S ribosomal RNA
Rfam family: Bacterial small subunit ribosomal RNA
Source: RNAcentral
UACUCGAGUGGCGAACGGGUGAGUAACACGUGGGUGAUCUGCCCUGUACUUUGGGAUAAGCCUGGGAAACUGGGUCUAAUACCGAAUAUGACCACUUCUUGGAUGGGGUGGUGGAAAGCUUUUGCGGUAUGGGUUGAGCUCGCGGCCUAUCAGCUUGUUGGUGGGGUAAUGGCCUACCAAGGCGUCGACGGGUAGCCGGCCUGAGAGGGUGUACGGCCACAUUGGGACUGAGAUACGGCCCAG